CUACCAUGGCUUUUACGGGUAACGGAGGAUUAGGGUUCGAUUCCGGAGAGGGAGCCUGAGAAACGGCUACCACAUCUAAGGGAGGCAGCAGGCGCGUAAAUUACCCAAUGCUAAUUCAGCGAGGUAGUGACAAGAAAUAACGGGUCGGGGCAUAUACCCUGGGACUGAAAUGAAGUGAAUUUACACCCCUUGGUAGAGCAACAAUUGGAGGGCAAGUCUGGUGCCAGCAGCCGCGGUAAUUCCAGCUCCAAUAGCGUAUAUUAAAGUUGUUGCAGUUAAAAAGCUCGUAGUUGGAUUUCUGGUGGGCAGAUACCCUGCGGCCGCCCGUUCGUGGUUGUAUCCAACACCCCUCUGUUCCUCUUUGUUUA
Molecule: ribosomal RNA, 368 nt
Filed under: Ciliophora sp.
Lineage: Eukaryota; Ciliophora
Description: SSU rRNA
Rfam family: Eukaryotic small subunit ribosomal RNA
Source: RNAcentral